This 840-nucleotide long non-coding RNA is filed under the name Equus caballus (horse). RNAcentral's name for it is "lncRNA (ENSECAG00000056434.1)". The record is from RNAcentral. Lineage: Eukaryota; Metazoa; Chordata; Mammalia; Perissodactyla; Equidae.
GAGCGUGACUCAGUGAAAAGGACGGAUAUGCAAGUGCCAGGCAGUAAGAAAAGGAAAAGUGGGGGAGGCUUUGUUGCUCUCACCGCCCCAGCGUUCAGCGCUGAGUUGAGGGCUGGCCCCUCCGCCUUUCUCUGCAAAGCCCCGCGGUGCAGGAGCUCCGGCUGUGGAUGUCUCAACAGAAAGGGGCUCCCGGAAGCUGGAGCACAGGCGGGGACACAAAGGCAACCCUGGAGAUCAAAAGGCAUCACCCCCAGUAAACCUCUUGUCCUCUAACUCCAUCUUACCAUCUACUUCAUGGAGGACCUAACUGACACACCAGCCAAAGCCAGAUGGGGUCUCCAGAGGCAAGAGAAGAAAGGAGGUCCCUGCAGCAGACCAAGAAGCUGAACCCAAAGUCCAGCCAGUGAUCUCUUACACGACCAUAAAGCAAGCUUUCUUUGGAGAUAACAGGAAGUGAAUGUGAUUGGGUCAAAAUUUGCCAUUUAGAGACUGGAACACCAUCCAGAAUAACGUGAGUCUCUUUUGAUGUUAUGAGAGGACAGCUUACAAGUUUUGGGGGAUCUGAGGAGUGGAUUUCUCUGUAGACUCUCAAAAAGCAUCACAAGGUCCAGGAAUUGGUGUGAGAGAGAAGACAUCAAGAUCAAAGUAAAUCUGCUCCACUCCAUCUGAACCAAGCUCAGGCUGAGAUCUUCUGCUAUGGGCCUCAAGGCUAUCCCUCUUAGUGUUUGGCCACUGUGGGUUCCACAUGUCCCCAUCAGUGGCCUGUCAACUCCUGGAGUGCUGUGAUGGAGUGUGACACAAGUCCAUAGCAUUCUCAGAAUAUUCCACCACCAAUCACCC